RNAcentral lists this ribosomal RNA (492 nucleotides) under uncultured bacterium. Its description in RNAcentral is "partial 16S ribosomal RNA". It matches the Rfam family "Bacterial small subunit ribosomal RNA", at positions 29 to 507 of the family's 1533-position model. The record is from RNAcentral.
AGUGAACGCUGGCGGUAGGCCUAACACAUGCAAGUCGAACGGCAGCACAGUAAGAGCUUGCUCUUACGGGUGGCGAGUGGCGGACGGGUGAGGAAUACAUCGGAAUCUACUUUUUCGUGGGGGAUAACGUAGGGAAACUUACGCUAAUACCGCAUACGACCUACGGGUGAAAGCGGGGGAUCUUCGGACCUUGCGCGAUUGAAUGAGCCGAUGUCGGAUUAGCUAGUUGGCGGGGUAAAGGCCCACCAAGGCGACGAUCCGUAGCUGGUCUGAGAGGAUGAUCAGCCACACUGGAACUGAGACACGGCCCAGACUCCUACGGGAGGCAGCAGUGGGGAAUAUUGGACAAUGGGCGCAAGCCUGAUCCAGCCAUACCGCGUGGGUGAAGAAGGCCUUCGGGUUGUAAAGCCCUUUUGUUGGGAAAGAAAAGCAGCAGGUUAAUACCCCGCUGUUCUGACGGUACCCAAAGAAUAAGCACCGGCUAACUUCGUG